Molecule: ribosomal RNA, 482 nt
Filed under: uncultured bacterium
Lineage: Bacteria
Description: partial 16S ribosomal RNA
Rfam family: Bacterial small subunit ribosomal RNA
Source: RNAcentral
GACGAACGCUGGCGGCGUGCUUAACACAUGCAAGUCGUACGGAAAGGCCCUGGCUUUGGUUGGGGUGCUCGAGUGGCGAACGGGUGAGUAACACGUGGGUGAUCUGCCCUGCACUUUGGGAUAAGCCUGGGAAACUGGGUCUAAUACUGGAUAGGACCAUGCUUUUGUGUGUCAUGGUGGAAAGGCUUCUUUUUGGGGCUGGUGUGGGAUGAGCUUGCGGGCUAUCAGCUUGUUGGUGGGGUAAUGGCUUACCAAGGCGUGGACGGGUAGCCGGCCGGAGAGGGUAUACGGCCACAGUGGGAAUGAGAAACGGACCAGACUCCUGCGAGAGGCAGGAGUGGGGAGUAUGGCACAAUGAGCGCAAGCCUGAUGCAGCGACGCCGCGUGAGAGAUGACGGCCGUCGGGUUGUAGACCUACUUCGCUGGAGACGAAGCUUUUUUUGGUGACGGUACCUGGAGAAGAAGCACCGGCUAACUACGUG